This is a non-coding RNA of Orcinus orca (killer whale), 1162 nucleotides long. NCBI's taxonomy places the organism in Eukaryota, Metazoa, Chordata, Mammalia, Artiodactyla, Delphinidae. The record is from the annotation of a RefSeq genome assembly.
UCAUCUGACGCUGCCAUGAGCAACAGGCUUCUCUGCUGUUUUGUCCUUUUUCUUCUCAGAGUAGACCUCAAGGAUGCUGUAGUCACACAGUUCCCAAGACACAAGAUCUCGAAGACAGGAAAGGAAUUAACUCUACAGUGUUCACAAAAACAGAAUCAUUAUUCAAUGUACUGGUACCGCCAAGACCCAGGAUUUGGACUGCGGCUGAUCUAUUACUCAACUGGUACCAACACCACUGAGAAAGGAGAUGUCCCUGAGGGGUAUCGUGUCUCUCGAAAUGAGUUGGAAUAUUUCCCCCUGACCCUGAAGUCUGCCAGCACCAGCCAGACAUCGGUGUACUUCUGUGCCAGCAGUGAAUCCACAGAGCAGUAUUUUGGCCCAGGCACCAGGCUCACGGUCAUAGACGACCUGAGCAAGGUGACCCCACCCAAGGUGGCUGUGUUCGAGCCGUCAGCAGCAGAGAUCUCCCGGACCCAGAAGGCCACGCUUGUGUGCCUGGCCACGGGCUUCUACCCCGACCACGUGGAGCUGAGCUGGUGGGUGAACGGGAAGCAGGUCGAGACAGGGGUCAGCACGGACCCUCAGCCCCACAAGGAGGACCCCAGCCGCAAUGACUCCAGCUACUGUCUGAGCAGCCGGCUGAGGGUCUCCGCCAGCUUCUGGUACAACCCUCGCAACCUCUUCCGCUGCCAAGCCUGGUUCCACGGGGUCUCGGACGAGGACGAGUGGAAGCAGGACAGGCCCAAACCCGUCACCCAGAACAUCAGUGCCGAGGUCCGGGGCCGAGCAGACUGUGGCCUCACCUCGGCGUCCUACCAGCAAGGGGUCCUGUCUGCCACCAUCCUCUAUGAGAUCCUGCUGGGGAAGGCCACCCUCUAUGCUGUGCUGGUCAGCGCCCUGGUGCUGAUGGCCAUGGUUAAGAAAAAGGAUUCCUGAGACCAGCUCCAAAAGUGCAUCCUGAGUCAUUCUUCAUCCUCUCCUUGGAUGUUCCUUAACAUGUUUCCAGUCUGUGUUCCUCAAGGGUUUCUCUCUCUCCACCUUCUUUUAUCUCCUUCCUACUUGGAUAUCUGUCCCUUCUCUCAGCUUCCCUGCAGACUGAGCUCCUCCCCACUGAAUCUGAAAUUGAUUAAAGUAAUAAAAGUGUCAUGGUGGGCUUGACUGU